UACGUAGGGAGCAAGCGUUGUCCGGAAUCAUUGGGCGUAAAGCGCGCGUAGGCGGCCCGGUAAGUCCGUUGUGAAAGUCAAAGGCUCAACCUUUGAAAGCCGAUGGAUACUGCCGGGCUAGAGUCCGGAAGAGGCGAGUGGAAUUCCUGGUGUAGCGGUGGAAUGCGCAGAUAUCAGGAGGAACACCGGUGGCGAAGGCGGUUCUCUGGGCAUUACCUGACGCUGAGGAGCGAAAGUGUGGGGAGCGAACAGG
This 253-nucleotide ribosomal RNA is filed under the name uncultured bacterium. RNAcentral's name for it is "partial 16S ribosomal RNA". It matches the Rfam family "Bacterial small subunit ribosomal RNA", at positions 524 to 776 of the family's 1533-position model. The record is from RNAcentral.